Molecule: microRNA precursor, 101 nt
Organism: Ochotona princeps (American pika)
Lineage: Eukaryota; Metazoa; Chordata; Mammalia; Lagomorpha; Ochotonidae
Source: Ensembl
AGGGUGGGCUCCUGAUCUCUCACUGGGGCCUCCAAAUGUUGCACCCAAGCACCCAACACGCAAGAGCACCACACACUGAUAAGAUCUGGAAGUCCUUUACU